UAAAAGGUAGUCUUUCCCAACAAACUGUGUUUACAUCUGGACCAAAUCAAGCACUUCCUGGCACCACAAGCCAGCCAUCCGUUCCUGGACACCAUGUUACUCCGGGCCAUUUUCUGCCGUCUCAAAACCCUACCAUUCACCAUCAAACUGCUGCUGCUGUGGUCCCACCCCCGCCUCCACCACCGCCUGCUCCAGGACCUCACCUCGUACAACAGCCAAACUCACAUCAGCAGCACUCUGUAGCACAUGUAGUUGGGACAGUUCAUGCUGUCACCCCUGGGUCACACAUUCAUUCUCAAACUGUUGGACACCAUUUACCACCACCUCCUCCACCUCCUGGUCCUGCCCCACAUCACCAUCCUCCACCCCAUCCUUCCACAGGACUGCAAAGUCUGCAAGCACAACACCAGCAUGUAGUAAACUCAGCACCCCCACCGCCCCCUCCUCCUCCUCCUCCAGCCAGUGUUCUGGUUUCUGGGCAUCAUUCAGCAUCAGGUCAAGCCUUACAUCACCCACCUCAUCAAGGACCUCCACUUUUUCCUGUGAGUGUUCAUCCGGCUGUACCGCCGUACCCCUCACAAGCCACACAUCACACCACUUUGGGACCGGGACCCCAACACCAGCCUUCCGGAACAGGGCCACAUUGUCCAUUACCAGUUCCAGGUCCUCAUCUCCAGCCCCAAGGACCAAACAGUAUUCCAACACCUACUGCUUCAGGGUUCUGUCCUCAUCCUCACCCUGGCUCUGUGGCCCUGCCACAUGGGGGGCAAGGACCUCAUCAGGCAUCGCCAGUGCCUGGACAGAUUCCAAUUCACAGAGCACAGGUGCCACCAACAUUUCAAAACAAUUACCACGGUUCAGGGUGGCAUUAAAAUGGACUCCAAUAACAUUUUUUAAAAUGUUCUGUAAGAUAAACUGUAUAUUUCAUAUGUACCUGUUAAGGUACUUUUUAAAGCUUGUACAUGAAACUUUGUAUAAAAAAGACAAAAACAAAACAAACAAACAAAAAAAAAACAAAACACCAGUGCUCUUCCAUUGUAUUUUUCCCAUUUUUGCUUUUUAAGAUUCCGUAUGAAAUGUGCUAAGCCAGUCGUAGGCAUCUUAAUUCUGUAAGUGAGCAUUCCAACUGUCUUUUCUGACCAGAGAGCUGAUGUACAUGACCUUAAAUUUCAUUGUUGCAGUUAAAUUCAUUUAGUGACUAUUUUCUGUAUUAUUUUAUACAUAUGCAUUAAGUAUACAGCUAAAGAAAGCACUAAGGAUUUUCUUUUUUAUGGUCAGCAGUUCUUUGAGUGCACCUUAGGUCUGAAAAUGCAAUACAGGUUUUUAUAAUUUGGUGUGGACAUGGCUCAUUUUGUUUUAUCAGUUUUUUGCAAGCAAAAUGUAAUUUAAUGUGUAGAUAAUUUCUAGUGUCUCCUGACAGAUGUAAAUACUGCAUUUCUUUUGCGUGUAUAAUUGCUUCCCACCCUUUUCAUUUGGUAUAUAGCAUUGUACAUAUGCAAGUCUUUGCAAAAGUGUGAUCUCUGUGGAGUAGUACAGCACAUGGCCUUUCCUUUUUAUUUCAGUAUGCUGUCACAUUGAAGCACUGGCUGGGCAUUUUAAUUCAUGUUAAUAAACCACAAUUAUGUCAGUUUUACUAAAUUGUUCUGUACAUCUUCUGAGAUUGAGGUCUGCUUAUCGAUUUUACAAAAGUUACGAUUUUCAAAUAUAAUUUAUAAGUA
Molecule: long non-coding RNA, 1718 nt
Filed under: Rattus norvegicus (Norway rat)
Lineage: Eukaryota; Metazoa; Chordata; Mammalia; Rodentia; Muridae
Description: long non-coding RNA NONRATT021119
Source: RNAcentral